GCAGUCGGUCGCGACUGGCGUUGAGGUGGGUACCACCGGGGAGCGACUGCAACACCGGACAUCGGGACCGUUCGCCUGGGCCCCACGU
This 88-nucleotide non-coding RNA is filed under the name Aeromicrobium sp. 9AM. Its description in RNAcentral is "pfl". It matches the Rfam family "ZMP/ZTP riboswitch aptamer (pfl RNA motif)". From Rfam's summary of the family: Previously known as pfl RNA. ZMP is also known as AICAR. The record is from RNAcentral. Lineage: Bacteria; Bacillati; Actinomycetota; Actinomycetes; Propionibacteriales; Nocardioidaceae.